This 368-nucleotide ribosomal RNA is filed under the name uncultured organism. RNAcentral's name for it is "bacterial SSU rRNA". It matches the Rfam family "Bacterial small subunit ribosomal RNA", at positions 526 to 896 of the family's 1533-position model. The record is from RNAcentral.
CGGAGGGUGCAAGCGUUAUCCGGAUUCACUGGGUUUAAAGGGUGUGUAGGCGGGCAGUUAAGUCAGUGGUGAAAUCUCCGGGCUCAACCCGGAAACUGCCAUUGAUACUAAUUGUCUAGAAUAUCGUUGAGGCAGGCGGAAUAUGUCAUGUAGCGGUGAAAUGCAUAGAUAUGACAUAGAACACCAAUUGCGAAGGCAGCUUGCUAAACGAUCAUUGACGCUGAGGCACGAAAGCGUGGGGAUCAAACAGGAUUAGAUACCCUGGUAGUCCACGCCCUAAACGAUGAUUACUCGACAUACGCGAUACACAGUGUGUGUCUGAGCGAAAGCAUUAAGUAAUCCACCUGGGAAGUACGUCCGCAAGGAUG